GUUCUAUAAGAAAACAGGUUGAGCAAGCCAUGAGGAGCAAGCCAGUAAGCAGCACUCUUCUAUAGCUUCUGCUUUAGCUCCAGCCUCCAGGUUCCUGCCCUGCUUCCUGCUUCAGUUUCUGCCCCGACUUCCUUUGCUGGUGAGCUAUGAUGUGGAAGUGUAAGGUGCAUUGGCAGUUGAGUAGUGGCAUGGAGAAUAGAGGCAUCAUGAUUACAUUAUGGAUGGAUCGAGGUGACAGAAAGACGAGACUUCCCUCUCCACCAAGACUACAGGCAGCAAGCAGCAAGCACAAGAAGAGAUCUCCUUGAGAAGUUCCCACCAACAGCCCCAUGAAAGAGAUACUACUAUUUGUGCUUUGCAUCUGAAGACAUAAAAGUCCAAAAGACACAUCUCCCAGGAAGGAGUGAAGUUGCUUCUCUAGGAUAUCUGAUACCAUUUUCUUUACGAAGACUUAAGCAAUUACAAGUGUGUUUUUACAUUGGAAGGAACUAGAAUCUGGGGGAGGCUUUUCUGGUCUGUGCAGUGAGCAGGUGUUAAGACCAUUGAAUGGAUAUUUUGAAACAAAUAUGGCCGCUGUAUGACACCUCUUGUCUUCUUACUGGUUCUCUGGCCAUCUGCUUAUUUGACAUUGAACUCUUAUUUCACAAGGUCACACAUACUAAUCGGCCUACGGAUGCUGGCAGGAAUGACAGUGGAGAGCAAUGUUUGCCACUCACUAUAGCUACUCUUCCAGAUAACAGUCACACAUCUGAAUGUGGGCUCUCUUUCUAUGAUGCAUCCCUGCUCAGUUCCACAUUUGCUCCUUGCUGGCAAGAAAUGGUUUUGUCCUCUCUGGCAAUCUCAGAACUAGUAGAAAUACCCUAAUUAUCUUCAACUUUUCCCAGGCAGCUGCCAGUCAGACUGAGAAAGGAUCUCA
Molecule: long non-coding RNA, 916 nt
Filed under: Cricetulus griseus (Chinese hamster)
Lineage: Eukaryota; Metazoa; Chordata; Mammalia; Rodentia; Cricetidae
Description: lncRNA (ENSCGRG00015036562.1)
Source: RNAcentral